Molecule: long non-coding RNA, 392 nt
Organism: Empidonax traillii (willow flycatcher)
Lineage: Eukaryota; Metazoa; Chordata; Aves; Passeriformes; Tyrannidae
Exons: 3
Source: RefSeq, a predicted model, not a curated record
AUACAAGAGCAGACCAAAACAGACAGGGCACGCUGGGAGUCAGAGAGAAGAAAACAGUAAGUGAGGCUGUAAGAACUCUGCUGACUGGCUGCAGCUCCCAUGGAGAGUCUGCUCAGGUAUUUUGGGGAGGAUGCCUUGCCAGCCCCUGAGGAUGCUUAGGGAGGAGCUGCCACAGGCACACUGCACUCCUGUGAUAUGGAUAGAAUUUACAAACCACAAACAAAACACGAAUGGCUCUUAAGAAGCUCAGCAGUAAGAGGAGGAUGGAUGGCUGCAGUGUGCCAUCAGGAGAGGUGCAACAGCCAUCCCAAAGAGAGAUGGAUCAUCCUUCACCUGUGACGUGCCCAUGGCCACAAGGGUCCGAUCUGGCAAUAGUGGUUCCAGCUGCUGCC